RNA transcript from Olea europaea var. sylvestris, 1688 nucleotides. It is a transcript of the gene named protein GUCD1-like, with no coding region annotated. The record is from RefSeq and is a predicted model, not a curated record. The transcript is spliced from 11 exons. NCBI's taxonomy places the organism in Eukaryota, Viridiplantae, Streptophyta, Magnoliopsida, Lamiales, Oleaceae.
GAGACAAGAACAUGGGACCCUCGCCCCAGCACUGUAAAAACGUUUCUUUAGAAACACCCAAAGAUAGAAUGUCAGCAAAAGGGCAAAUUUGAUUCCAACGCCUUUUUCCUCCAUCGUUCUAUCAAAUCUCAAAAGGAUCAACGUUCGGUGCCAUAGCAUUGUUGAUUCUCUCUCAAUCACAGCCUGAAUGUGUGGGAUCUGUUGUAGUUGCGACCCAGUACAAGUAAACAAAUACAUUUCUUGGAUCUGAAGGAGAAGAGGAUCUUCUGUUAUUGCACGAGCAUUUGAAGUUUUUUGCACCAUCCCGGACUAAAAUAAUUAAUAUACUACACGAGAUGUGGUCUUUGUAUCUUCUUGCAAACAAAUUUCUGAAAUUAGAUGAAAGAAAUAAUGAAGGAUCAGCUGGAAAUAAUUUGGAAAUCAUUGAACACUACCAAAUCAAACAGUCACCAAGAAAAGAUGAAAGAUAUGGUUCAGUUUUGUCCUGUUUCAUUGAAGUGCCUCAUAUAAACCAACUACGCACAUGGGACUGUGGCCUUGCUUGUGUUCUAAUGGUUUUGAGAACUCUUGGCAUCUAUAAUUGCAAUAUUCAGGAACUGGGGGAGCUCUGCUCCACGACAAGUAUUUGGACGGUUGAUUUAGCCUAUUUGCUGCAGAAGUUUUCUGUAAGAUUUUCCUACUGUACAGUAACCUUAGGAGCUAACCCAAAUUUUUAUGUGGAGACGUUUUACAAGGAACAAUUGCCUAACGAUCUAGUUCGAGUAAAUUUGUUAUUUCAAGAAGCUCGGAAAGCUGAAAUCAAUAUAGAGUGCAGAUCUGUCAGUGCAGACGAAAUUUCUGAGCUUAUCUUAUCUGGAAAAUAUAUUGCUAUUGCUUUAGUUGACCAGUACAAACUAAGAUGCAGUCGUUCUUGGCUAGAGGAUGUUUACAUCUCUGACUUCUAUAGUGGCAGCCCUGGCUACACAGGUCAUUAUGUCAUUAUAUGUGGUUAUGAUGCUGUUGCAAAUGAAUUUGAGAUUCGAGAUCCCGCCAGUUCAAGGAAAUUUGAGAGGGUCACGUCAUUGUGUUUAGAAGAAUCCCGCAAAUCCUUUGGUACUGAUGAGGACAUUCUUCUGGUUCUCUCUAAACUCUUCCCUUCAUUGACCUCGAAAGGGACAACAUGUGACGCUUUUUAGUUGGCCUCUGUCCAAUCAAUAGUUCAAAAUUGCGAAUAUAAUGGUGCUACAAGUUGUCCUUUGAGAGUUUCAUGUCUCAGCGGAAAGGAAGUAAUAAUUGAUAAUUCUGUUGCAAAUUUGACCCCAUUGGGAAGACUGAAACUUUAUUUCAUUCGUACAUUUCGGGGCAGAGAUUUUUAAUAGCUAGAUUCAUUACAAAAUACAUUCUCAGGAAUGGUUGAAUGUAUACUCCAGCUAUAAUAUACUCCAGCACGGAUUCAUUACAUGCUUAAUUUUUCCUUUUUCAGUUUCUUGGUCACCAUGGGAGUGAGCAUCAUACUAGCCUUCCGUGAGUGCUGAUGUUGGACAGCCCUUUCUUUUGUUUGAGAGCUUUUGGCCCCUUCAGCACUAACCCACAAUUAACAGGCUUUCCUAUCAUUGUGUCAUUACAGUGAUCUUGUCCACUUUGUCUUCCACAGCAAGCCUAGCCUACUUUCGUAAAGUGUACUAUAAUUGAUAUCCCUGGAGAAAGGG